CCUACGGGUGGCAGCAGUGGGGAAUAUUGGGCAAUGGGCGCAAGCCUGACCCAGCAACGCCGCGUGAAGGAAGAAGGCUUUCGGGUUGUAAACUUCUUUUAAGAGGGAAGAGCAGAAGACGGUACCUCUUGAAUAAGCCACGGCUAACUACGUGCCACCAGCCGCGGUAAUACGUAGGUGGCAAGGGUAGUCCGGAUUUACUGGGUGUAAAGGGCGUGCAGCCGGGAAGGCAAGUCUGAAGUGAAAUCCAGGGGCUCAACCGCGGAACUGCAUUUGAAACUGUUAUUCUUGAGUGCCGGCGAGGUAAUCGGAAUUCCUUGUGUAGCGGUGAAAUGCGUAGAUAUAAGGAAGAACACCAGUGGCGAAGGCGGAUGACUGGACGGCAACUGACGGUGAGGCGCGAAAGCGUGGGGAGCAAACAGGAUUAGAUACCCUAGUAGUC
Molecule: ribosomal RNA, 442 nt
Filed under: uncultured bacterium
Lineage: Bacteria
Description: partial 16S ribosomal RNA
Rfam family: Bacterial small subunit ribosomal RNA
Source: RNAcentral